GAUGAACGCUGGCGGCGUGCCUAAUACAUGCAAGUCGAGCGAACGGACGAGAAGCUUGCUUCUCUGAUGUUAGCGGCGGACGGGUGAGUAACACGUGGAUAACCUACCUAUAAGACUGGGAUAACUUCGGGAAACCGGAGCUAAUACCGGAUAAUAUUUUGAACCGCAUGGUUCAAAAGUGAAAGACGGUCUUGCUGUCACUUAUAGAUGGAUCCGCGCUGCAUUAGCUAGUUGGUAAGGUAACGGCUUACCAAGGCAACGAUGCAUAGCCGACCUGAGAGGGUGAUCGGCCACACUGGAACUGAGACCCGGUCCAGACUCCUACGGGAGGCAGCAGUAGGGAAUUUUCCGCAAUGGGCGCAAGCCUGACGGAGCCACGCCGCGUGAGUGAUGAAGGUCUUCGGUUCGUAAAACUCUGUUAUUAGGGAAGAACAUAUGUGUAAGUAACUGUGCACAUCUUGACGGUACCUAAUCAGAAAGCCACGGCUAACUACGUG
RNAcentral lists this ribosomal RNA (497 nucleotides) under uncultured bacterium. RNAcentral describes it as "partial 16S ribosomal RNA". It matches the Rfam family "Bacterial small subunit ribosomal RNA", at positions 28 to 507 of the family's 1533-position model. The record is from RNAcentral.